AUGGCGCAGUGGUGGGAUGAGUGGCUGCUGCGCAUUCUCGUCCUAGCCAGCCUUGGCGCCCAAUACUUCCUCGUACUAUCCGCCCGAGUUCGUAAGUAUCAUAUCCCGCCAUGGCUCAAACUUCUUCUCCGGCUGGCGCACAUCGGCAGCGACGCUCUGGCCCUCUUCGCCAUCGCCACGCUCUUCAACCGCCAAAAAGCUGGGCCUUGCUGCAGCUACGCGCGCGGCAGCCGCGACUUGGAGCUGCUAUGGGCGCCCAUCCUGGUGCUGCACCUCGGCGGACAGGUCGUCAUAACCAGCUACAAAAUUGAAGACAACGAGCAGUGGAGCCGCCACAUCCUAACUUCUCUAUCUAAGACUGACGACGGGGUCCCAACGGAACCGCCCGAAAACCCGGCGAUCCGACGGACGUCUCCUCCGAUGGGCGGUGUCAACGUCGCAUGGCGCCGCGACGGCUUACCGCCCGACGGGAAAUCAGGAGAUCCGAGCAAGGCACGUCACCGCGUCGCCUGCAUCGCUGUCGGGCUGCCUCUGGACUUGCCGAAGCCGGAGGAGGAGGAGGAGCAGGCGGAAGAGGAGGAGGGAGAGGAGCAGCAGUCGGCUCCGAUGGAGUUGGCAGAUCCGGAGGAGGACGAGCAGGAGCAGGAGCCGGCGUCGGCUCCAGGCUUCAACAUGGAGGAUGCCAAAGCGUAAAGGAACUCCAGGUUGAGGCGCAUCGCGGGAUGGUUGGACUUGGCCGACGGCUACAUUUGGCACAUGGAGCCUAGCUAUUCGUGCCAGGAGAUUACAGAACUGGUUCGUGGGCAUAUUGAAACUGCGUGGAAGGAGGACAUAGUGGACACUGAAUCUUACAGGAGGUUUAAUUGUGCCAGGGGUGAGUGGACGCUCGCGAAAACUGGAUAUUUCCGACGGGUGGGUUGGAUCAUACAGAGGCCAUUUGAUGAGAGCAUUAUUCUCUGGCACCUGGCCACAGAUAUAUGCCUUGAGUACAAGGCCAUGUCUCCUGGUGAUAUGGAAUGUGCCCGCCGCUGCAAAGUAAUAUCCAACUACAUGAUGCAUCUCUUGGUUGCUAAUCCUGAGAUGCUAAUGCCAGGCAGCAGAAAGAGUGUCUUCACAACGAUCUACGCCGAACUUGACGCCUACCUCGACGGUGACAAGACACCGACACCGCAGGACCAGAGCGGAUUUACACAAGAAGUAAUUGAGAAAUGUAAGUCGGGUUAUAUCCCGGACUGUUUUGUUCGCGAUGCCUGGCUGCUCGUUCAAAGCUUGUUAGAUCAUUCUGAUGACGAUACCAAGAUAUGGGAGGUGAUCCAAGGUGUGUGGGUGGAGAUGAUCUGCUUUUCUGCCGGCCGGUGCCGAGGAUACCUGCACGCCGAGGCUCUCGGGACGGGUGUGGAGUACCUUUCAUAUGUCUGGGUCCUACUGGCAUUCUCUGGGAUGGACACAUUCACGGAAAAUCUUCAAGGGAGGGGUGGUCAGUCAUUUGACGGCCUUGAGUCUUGCAGUUUAGAGCGGAUGCCAGAGAAUCUUCAGAUGGGGAAGGACAGAAUCCUAGCCAAUCAGCUCAAGGCGUCCCUGUCUUUCUCCGAGCUCUUCAAAUGA
RNAcentral lists this ribosomal RNA (1605 nucleotides) under Triticum aestivum (bread wheat). RNAcentral's name for it is "partial small subunit ribosomal RNA". Lineage: Eukaryota; Viridiplantae; Streptophyta; Magnoliopsida; Poales; Poaceae. The record is from RNAcentral.